Long non-coding RNA from Alnus glutinosa, 1062 nucleotides. RefSeq lists it as uncharacterized. NCBI's taxonomy places the organism in Eukaryota, Viridiplantae, Streptophyta, Magnoliopsida, Fagales, Betulaceae. The transcript is spliced from 9 exons. The record is from RefSeq and is a predicted model, not a curated record.
UCUUCAGCGCCCCUCCUUCUCAAAUUUGACCGUUCCAACUUCCUUCAUCACAAUUUAAUAGGGGUGAGCAUGGGGCGGGGGGCGGUUUUCCCCCCUUUUUGCCCCCGCCCCGCACCCUUGCGGGUUUAGGAAAUGGCACCCGUAAACCGCAUAAAAUCAGUGACAUCCGUGCGGGGCGGGGGAUGCGGGGUUUGCAGGGAGGGACGGGUUUUUUGGUGAAGAAGAUGCUGUGUCGUUCCAUCAACAUAGGUACGUGAAGAAGAUGAUCAAGAGCGGUGCUGUGUGCGCCGUGCGGGGUGAACACUGAAGAACAAGGGGAAGGGUUUACAGUAACACCAAAAAAGAAAAAUCUAUGUAAAGUACGGAUUCUUCAAUCCAUCAUAGAAAAUGAGCUCCGUGUACAAGCACCGUCUAUGAGUAAUGGCUCUAGCAAGAGAUAUAAGAUUUCCAGAAAGUUUUUUGAUGACUGCAAUGGCGUUGAUCAUGCCUCUGUUCCGAGAAAGCUACGGUCAGGUUCAUGGAGGCUCAAGAGGUAUUGGUACCUUUUCAAUUCAGAUAGCUAAAUACCAAGGAGGCAAGGAGCAAGAGUGUUUGUCACAGCAGGGAGCGAGGAAAAAUUAGCUUUUUGCAAGAAACUUGGAGCUGAUGUGUGCAUCAAUUACAAGACACAGGAUUUUGUUAAACGGGUAGACAAGGCAUUGAUGUUAUUCUGGAUCCAAUGGGAGCAUCCUGCUUGAUGCAAAACAUUGAGAACUUAAAUGUUGAUGGUAGGCUUUUUAUUAUUGACACUAUGGGUGGUUCAGAUGCAAAAAUCGAUUUCCGUGUUCUUCUUGCAAGGCGCCUCACAGUGCAAUAAGCUAUAUAAACCCAGCUGUAUAAUAAAAGACGCGAGAUCUGCUAUUGGUACAUGGACAGUUCCCAUUUUUAAUGCGGCUGGGUUGCGACACAGAAGUGCGGAAAACAAAGCUGUGAUUGUUAAUCAAGUUGAGAAGAUUGUUUGGCCUGCAAUUGUGGCGGGCAAGGUGAAGCCAGUGGUGCACAAGUCUUUUCCAUUUUCUGAAG